UACGUGUUAUUGUUGGCUGUAGAAGUAUCUCAUUCUGAUCCGAUAGUAUAUUUCACUAAUGUAAGCGCAAAAGCAGUUGCACGCAGUACUACGGCAAGAUGGCUACCUCGAUUGCCCCCGGGCCCCGUGUGGCUAGCAAGAUGGCUACCUCGAUUGCCCGCGUGUGACUAACGUUUCUGUGGCCACGUCGGGCGUGGUGCGCCUGCAUAAUCGCCGCUUUGUUUCUGAGCGCUUGAACUAUCGGAAAUGUGGUGUUCUUGCGAGUUCAGCGCGGCUUAUAACAUGGUCGUUCGUUUUGUGUCGAGUAGAAAAAGAAGUGACGACUGGCUUCGCCUUUCGCAAGUACCGGCGCAAUAUUGGCUCUCCCUCGCGCGCCCGCGUACUGCUGCUGCUGCUGCUUGCCGGACGCCUUCUUCAGCGUGUUUAGGGCUAUCUUUCUCUCUCCGUUUGUGUGUGUGUGUGGUGUGUGUUCGCGCGCGCGUACGUGUUUUGUAAGCGCUUUACGUGUGCGUGCGUGCGUCCGUGCGUUUUUUUCUGAGCGCUGUGUACGUGCGUUCGUGCAUAUUUUUUGAGUGUUUUGUAUGUGUGCGUGCGCGCGCGUGUGUGCUUGUAUGCGGGUCUCUAUGUGCUUGCGCGUGCGUGCGUUCGUGCGUGUUUUGUGAGCGCUUUGUAUGUGCGCGCGUGCCUGUUGUUGAGUGCUUUGCAUGUGUGCGUGCGCGCGCGCGCGUUGCUGCUUUGCGAGCUUUUUGCUUGUGCGCGCGUGCUUGUAUGUGGGUCUCUAUGUGCUUGCGCGUGCGUGCGUUCGUGCGUGUUUUGUGAGUACUUAGCGUGUGUGCGUGCGUGCGCGUACGUUUUGUGAGCGCCUUGCGAGUGCGCGUGCUUGUAUGCGGGUCUCUAUGUGCUUGCGCGUGCGUGCGUUCGUGCGUGCGUGUUUUGUGAGUGCUAUGUAUGUGCGUGCGCGCGCGUACGUGUUUUGUGAAUUUUCUGCGGGGGCGCGCGUGCUUUGUGUGUGUGUGUGUAUUGAAUAAAGUCGGUAGUUUUACACGCAAUAAACCUCUUCAAAAUUGUUGCAGCGGCUGUCCCCGCCCUGAAAACCGAAUUUGGUGUCGAGCCACUCUGGAAUAUAUGGAGGCGCCGGAGGACUAGUGGAAGGUGUCAUCCAGAUGACAGCCUCACAAUUCGCAGCCUUUGUGCUCUCCAUCAGAAACCCAUCAGGGGCAAGCCACUUAAGUUUGCCUUCAGACAAGACAACAUUGAAGCAGGAUUCCAGCACAGCCAUCUCCUGCACUUAUGGUCAAGAUGCUCAGACAAUGGAGUCCCUGUUCCUUGUGGUUAACCGUGAACAGUAUUCUCG
Dermacentor silvarum is the source of this 1354-nucleotide long non-coding RNA. RefSeq lists it as uncharacterized. The record is from RefSeq and is a predicted model, not a curated record. The transcript has 3 exons. NCBI's taxonomy places the organism in Eukaryota, Metazoa, Arthropoda, Arachnida, Ixodida, Ixodidae.